GGUUGUAGUUCAGUGGUAGAGCGUUUGCCUAGCAUGUGUGUGGUACUGCGUUAGAUCCUCAGCACCA
RNAcentral lists this transfer RNA (67 nucleotides) under Marmota monax (woodchuck). RNAcentral's name for it is "tRNA.Ala". Lineage: Eukaryota; Metazoa; Chordata; Mammalia; Rodentia; Sciuridae. The record is from RNAcentral.